UGACAUUUCCAAUAUUCGGGUCUGGUU
Molecule: non-coding RNA, 27 nt
Filed under: Bombyx mori (domestic silkworm)
Lineage: Eukaryota; Metazoa; Arthropoda; Insecta; Lepidoptera; Bombycidae
Source: RNAcentral